AGUGGCGAACGGUUGAGUAACACGUAGACAACCUGCCCGGAAGUGGGGGAUAACAGCGGGAAACUGCUGCUAAUACCGCAUGUGGUGGGGAGAGGCCUCUCUCCUCGACUAAAGGAGCAAUCCGCUUCGGGAUGGGUCUGCGGCCUAUCAGCUGGUUGGUGGGGUAACGGCCUACCAAGGCGACGACGGGUAGCUGGUCUGAGAGGAUGAUCAGCCAGACGGGGACUGAGACACGGCCCCGACUCCUUCGGGAGGCAGCAAUGAGGAAUCUUGCGCAAUGGGGGAAACCCUGACGCAGCGACGCCGCGUGGGUGAGGAAGUCCUUCGGGAUGUAAAGCCCUUUUGUUGGGGACGAGAGUGGACGGUACCCAACGAAUAAGCCCCGGCUAACUACGUGCCAGCAGCCGCGGUAAUACGUAGGGGGCAAGCGUUGUCCGGAUUUACUGGGCGUAAAGCGCGCGUAGGCGGAACGUUAUGUCUGGCCUGAAAGCCCCCGGCUCAACCGGGGAGGGUGGCUGGAAACUGGCGUUCUUGAGGGCGUUAGAGGAGAGUGGAAUUCCAGGUGUAGCGGUGAAAUGCGUAGAGAUCUGGAGGAAUACCGAUGGCGAAGGCAGCCAUCUGGCCUAAUACUGACGCUGAGGUACGAAAGCAUGGGGAGCAAACAGGAUUAGAUACCCUGGUAGUCCAUGCCGUAAACGAUGUCUACUAGCCGUUGGGG
Molecule: ribosomal RNA, 718 nt
Filed under: uncultured Eubacteriales bacterium
Lineage: Bacteria; Bacillati; Bacillota; Clostridia; Eubacteriales
Description: bacterial SSU rRNA
Rfam family: Bacterial small subunit ribosomal RNA
Source: RNAcentral